This 482-nucleotide long non-coding RNA is filed under the name Numida meleagris (helmeted guineafowl). RNAcentral describes it as "lncRNA (ENSNMEG00000002310.1)". The record is from RNAcentral. Lineage: Eukaryota; Metazoa; Chordata; Aves; Galliformes; Numididae.
CGACAUUAUUAGGUUCAAAGACACUCCACAAUUUAAGCUAAAACUGGAUAAAGAGUAGAGUAACCUGCGUGCUGGAGGAUUAGACUUUAGAGCAGAAGGAAAGACUUUUGCUGAAGCAGCUGCUUCAGAUCACUGACUUGUUAAAGAUGUGUAACGAUUACUGCAGGAAAUUCCUCAUCAAAAUCUGCCUGUUUUGUUUCAGACUAAAACUCAUGAAAUCUGCAACUUUUCUUUCAAGCAGCUCCUCAGGCAAAAACAGAAAAUGUCAAGACUGAAGAAGAAGAUGUGCCGAGACUCAUGACCAGAAGGUUUUCAAGCCGGAAGGCAGAAAAAGAUCCCUUUGUGGUUGAAGAAGCAGAAUAAUUUGCUCAUGUCUCAGCCUUGAGAGCUUUGGGUUUGUUUCUGAAUUCAAGAGGCUCUAACAAACCACAAAAUAAGCAAACAAAAAUAAAAAACAGUAAGCUUUGUUUGCUCUUAUUUUG